RNAcentral lists this long non-coding RNA (1738 nucleotides) under Sinocyclocheilus grahami. Its description in RNAcentral is "lncRNA (ENSSGRG00000023533.1)". The record is from RNAcentral. Lineage: Eukaryota; Metazoa; Chordata; Actinopteri; Cypriniformes; Cyprinidae.
AGCUAAGAGUGGGGGUGAUCUACCUGGGCUCACGUAUCUAGAUACGUCCAGAGGUGUUAACCCAAUUGUGCAUAAGUUGCCCUUUGGAUUACAGGAAAAGUGGAUGAUGCAGGGUUCGCAUUAUAAAUACACAUAUGGGUUCCUUUUCCUCCAUUCUCCUUUUUUGUUAAGUUUGUGUGUACAGAAGCAAGAGCAUGCAACAAUCCGAGCUUCAAUCUUUCUUCGCUCACCAUAGCCUCUGGUGGAAAAAACAGGUAUAGUGAAAGCCACACCCAUGUUCAGAGACCUGUCUCAGUCCAUAAAAUGGAUGUGAUGACCUCCUCUAAUCUGUCUCAUGUCAAGAGUUUUCAGAGAGGAGCCGAUGAGAUUGAUAAACAUUGUCCAAUACAUCGUAAGCCUCAUCCUCUCAAGAAAUGCAGAGGCUUUAGAGAGAAACCACUAGAGGAAAAGAUGAAGAUUCUAAAGGAGCUGUCCGUCUGUUAUAGAUGCUGCUCAUCAAACAAACACAUCGCUAAGAAUUGUGAUGUGUCAAUCGAAUGCUCUGAGUGCGAGAGUGACAAACACCUGGCUGCUCUCCACCCAGGCCCAUCACCAUGGCAUUCUGAUUCUAUACCUCCUUUACAGCACGGCGGAGAGAGUGAAGAGUCCUGUGGUGGUGACGUGUCAUCAAAAUGCAGCAAGGUCUGUGGCAAAGGGUUUAGUGAGAAGUCAUGCGCUAAAAUAUGUCUUAUAAAUGUUUAUCCUGCUGGAAGCCCCGACAAAAGCAAACGGAUUUACGCCAUCAUAGAAGAGCAGAGCAACAGAUCUCUGGCGAGGUCAGAGUUUUUCGACAUGUUCAAUGUUCAAGGGACCUGUGCUUUAUAUACAUUGAAAACAUGUGCUGGAGUCAUUGAAGCAUUUGGUAGAAGAGCGCAAGGGUUCAUCAUUGAGUCUGCAGAUGGUGAGAUUAGUUUUUCACUUCCUACUCUUAUCGAAUGCAAUAGUAUGCCAGACAACAGAGAUGAAAUACCAACUGCUGCUGCCGCUCUGCAUCAUAGUCAUUUAAAAGUAAUAGCAGACAAGAUACCACCUAUUGAUUCAAAUGCUGAAAUACUGCUCCUGCUUGGAAGAGACAUAAUAAGAGCGCAUAAAGUUUGCAGACAACUCAACGGUCCUCAUGAUGCGCCGUAUGCACAAAAAUUGGACCUCGGCUGGGUCAUUGUGGGAAACGUGUGUCUAGGGAAGUGUCACAAGUCCUCUCCAGUGAACUGCAUGAGAACACACAUCUUAGAGAAUGGCAGACCAAGCUAUUUCAGUCCAUGCGAUAAUCACAUUGUACUGAAGGAGAAGUUUAAUGAGAAAACCCAGUUACAAAAACCAUCAGGCUUAUCCAGCUGCAGAAUUCACUCAGUCUUUCAGCAGACCGAGGAUGACAAUAAAUUUGCACCUUCAAUUGAGGACGAAAUAUUCCUGGACAUAAUGGAAAAGGAAUUCUCCAAGGACUCAAGUAACAGCUGGGUGGCACCACUACCAUUUCGUGAGUCAAGGAGACACUUGCCCAACAACAGAGUGUACGCUGUUAAACGUUUCAUGUCUCUACGUCGCAACCUUGAUAAACGGCCAAAGAUGAGAGAGGAUUUUACAGAAUUCAUGCAGAGAAUACUCAACAAUAACCAUGCAGAGCUAGCACCUCCUUUACAAGAUGGCCAGGAGUGCUGGUAUCUUCCAUCGUUUGGCGUGUAUCAUCCCAAAAAGCCAG